UACGUAGGGGGCAAGCGUUGUCCGGAUUCAUUGGGCGUAAAGAGCGUGUAGGCGGCCAGGUAGGUCGGUUGUGAAAACUGGAGGCUCAACCUUCAGAGGUCGACCGAAACCAUCUGGCUAGAGUCCGGGAGAGGAGAGUGGAAUUCCUGGUGUAGCGGUGAAAUGCGCAGAUAUCAGGAAGAACACCCGUGGCGAAAGCGGCUCUCUGGAACGGUACUGACGCCGAGACGCGAAAGCGUGGGGAGCGAACAGG
This 253-nucleotide ribosomal RNA is filed under the name uncultured bacterium. RNAcentral describes it as "partial 16S ribosomal RNA". It matches the Rfam family "Bacterial small subunit ribosomal RNA", at positions 524 to 776 of the family's 1533-position model. The record is from RNAcentral.